Molecule: non-coding RNA, 27 nt
Filed under: Bombyx mori (domestic silkworm)
Lineage: Eukaryota; Metazoa; Arthropoda; Insecta; Lepidoptera; Bombycidae
Source: RNAcentral
UGAAAUCGCCAACAGUAAUUUGCAUGC